Molecule: ribosomal RNA, 288 nt
Filed under: uncultured bacterium
Lineage: Bacteria
Description: partial 16S ribosomal RNA
Rfam family: Bacterial small subunit ribosomal RNA
Source: RNAcentral
GACGAACGCUGGCGGCGUGCUUAAUACAUGCAAGUCGAGCGAACUCCAACCACUCGCAAGAGUGGGGACGAGUUAGCGGCGAACGGGUGAGUAACACGUGAGGAACCUGCCCUGGAGACCGGGAUAACUCCCCGAAAGGGGUGCUAAUACCGGAUGCCCUCAAUGGAUCGCAUGGUCUGCUGAGGAAAUGGGAUUCCGCUCCAGGAGGGCCUCGCGGCCUAUCAGCNGUUGGUGAGGUAACGCUCACCAAGCGUCGACGGUAGCUGGUCUGAGAGGACGAUCAGGCCA